Molecule: long non-coding RNA, 1494 nt
Filed under: Marmota monax (woodchuck)
Lineage: Eukaryota; Metazoa; Chordata; Mammalia; Rodentia; Sciuridae
Source: RNAcentral
GCUCAAAGUUAGCAGAAGGAAAGAAAUAAUAAAUCCCAGAGCAGAAACACACUAGAGAGAAGAAUAGAAAUUCUGAGAAUCAAUGAAACUAAGAGUUGAAUAGCAAAAAGUACCAUAGUCAAAAGAUAACUGUUAGUUGUAGGAAAAUAUUUGUGAUGUUUAUUAGAGAUGAGUUCAGAUGUCCAUAAUAAAGAUAGAGCUUUUGAAAAAUUGAAAAGGGAAAGAACAUAAUCUGAUAGGAAAAAAAUAAACAUGACUCUCAAACCAACAAUUCACAAUCACAAAAUAUUUUAAAAGGACUUGAACAUACAAAAUAUGUUAUAACUUCAUCUCAAGUCAUUCCUCCUCUCAUUCAUUGUAUUCCUAGAAUAUUCUAAACUUUUUUUCCUCCGUAGAAGGAAUAAAGUUUAGAAUAUGUGAUGCUUGUUCACCUUAAUGUUCUACCCUCAACUCCUUGAACAGCUCACCUCCUCUCAUUCUUCAGGUUUUCACUUACAAGCCACCUCCUCAAAGAGGCCUUCUCUGGAUCCCCUAUCCAAAGUACUAAUUGUCCCUCCACCACAGCUGUUGUUAAUUUAUUUUAUCACAGCAUAACCUAUACUAUCCAAUUUGAAUAUCAGCUUCCUAAGGAAAAGUGCUUUGUCUGGUUUGUUCACCAUCGUAUCCUCCAUGUCUAGCAGAUGCAAGAAAAGUGAAGUAAUUACAGUUCAGGAAACAGCAUACUAAGUUAUGGGAUUUGACAUCGAAAUCACCAGAGUGAAGAUAAGUUCCCAAUAUGAAGAAUUACAGUGAGUUACUGAAAGGAAUUAAGGAGGUUCAAAGAAUUGAUAAUAAAGUGUGAGGUAGGUUAUCCACAUUUUUACUUAAGUUAUAAACCACAAUAUCUCUCAGUUUAAGUACUAUCUCUAGAGGAUCUAAUUCUCUUAGUAACCUCCAUUUAAUAAUUUAUUUUUAUUUUUUGGUACUAGGGAUUGAACUCAGGGGCGCUUCACCACUGAAAGUCCCCAGCCCUUUUUAUUUUGAGACAAGUUCUAACUAAGUUGCUUAGGGCCUCACUAAAUUGCUGAGGCUGGCCUUAAACUUGCAAUCCUUCCACCUCAGCCUCCUGAGUUACUGUUUACAGGCAUGCAGCACUGCACCUGGAUUAAUAAACCUUUUUUAAAAAAACUCUUUGAGACUUCUCUUUUAUCCCUCCUUCUUCUUUCAUCUAGUCAUCCAAUUCCUCUGGCUGUAUCUGCUUCCUUCUCCAUCCUACAAUGUCAAUUUAUAACAUUAAUGUCUAUCCUUUCCCUCUAUAGUGAUUAUCAAGCAUGAAUCUAAGAAAGACCUGAAUAGGUUUAAAUUUGAACACAUGACUUGGACCCACCCUUUGGAUUCAGGAGGACUAUGGUGGAGGCUCAUUUCAAAAAAACGCCCCAGAAGAGCUGGAUACAGACAAUCCAAGAAAAAAAGAAACACUGAUCUGGAGCAAACUCCUUUAAUAACACCCUGCCU